GACGAACGCUGGCGGCGUGCUUAACACAUGCAAGUCGAACGGAAAGGCCCUGCUUUUGUGGGGUGCUCGAGAGGCGAACGGGUGAGUAACACGUGAGUAACCUGCCCCUGACUUUGGGAUAACUUCAGGAAACUGGUGCUAAUACCGGAUAGGAGCUCCUGCGGCAUGGUGGGGGUUGGAAAGUUUCGGCGGUUGGGGAUGGACUCGCGGCUUAUCAGCUUGUUGGUGGGGUAGUGGCAUACCAAGGCCUUGACGGGUAGCCGGCCUGAGAGGGUGACCGGCCACAUUGGGACUGAGAGACGGCCCAGACUCCUACGGGAGGCAGCAGUGGGGAAUAUUGCACAAUGGGCGGAAGCCUGAUGCAGCGACGCCGCGUGCGGGAUGACGGCCUUCGGGUUGUAAACCGCUUUCGGCUGUGACGAAGCGUGAGUGACGGUAAUGGGUAAAGAAGCACCGGCUAACUACGUG
This 468-nucleotide ribosomal RNA is filed under the name uncultured bacterium. Its description in RNAcentral is "partial 16S ribosomal RNA". It matches the Rfam family "Bacterial small subunit ribosomal RNA", at positions 28 to 507 of the family's 1533-position model. The record is from RNAcentral.